UACGUAGGUCCCGAGCGUUGUCCGGAUUUAUUGGGCGUAAAGCGAGCGCAGGUGGUUUAUUAAGUCUGGUGUAAAAGGCAGUGGCUCAACCAUUGUAUGCAUUGGAAACUGGUAGACUUGAGUGCAGGAGAGGAGAGUGGAAUUCCAUGUGUAGCGGUGAAAUGCGUAGAUAUAUGGAGGAACACCGGUGGCGAAAGCGGCUCUCUGGCCUGUAAUUGACACUGAGGCUCGAAGGCGUGGGGAGCAAACAGG
RNAcentral lists this ribosomal RNA (252 nucleotides) under uncultured bacterium. RNAcentral's name for it is "partial 16S ribosomal RNA". It matches the Rfam family "Bacterial small subunit ribosomal RNA", at positions 524 to 776 of the family's 1533-position model. The record is from RNAcentral.